CCAGACUCCUACGGGAGGCAGCAGUGGGGAAUAUUGGGCAAUGGGCGAAAGCCUGACCCAGCAACGCCGCGUGAAGGAAGAAGGCUUUCGGGUUGUAAACUUCUUUUGACAGGGAAGAGCAGAAGACGGUACCUGUCGAAUAAGCCACGGCUAACUACGUGCCAGCAGCCGCGGUAAUACGUAGGGGGCAAGCGUUAUCCGGAUUUACUGGGUGUAAAGGGAGCGUAGACGGUUAUGUAAGUCUGGAGUGAAAGCCCGGGGCCCAACCCCGGGACUGCUUUGGAAACUGUGUAACUAGAGUACAGGAGGGGCAGGCGGAAUUCCUGGUGUAGCGGUGAAAUGCGUAGAUAUUAGGAGGAACACCAGUGGCGAAGGCGGCUUGCUGGACGAAAACUGACGUUGAGGCUCGAAAGCGUGGGGAGCAAACAGGAUUAGAUACCCCUGUAUUC
RNAcentral lists this ribosomal RNA (449 nucleotides) under uncultured bacterium. RNAcentral's name for it is "bacterial SSU rRNA". It matches the Rfam family "Bacterial small subunit ribosomal RNA", at positions 331 to 795 of the family's 1533-position model. The record is from RNAcentral.